Molecule: long non-coding RNA, 714 nt
Organism: Saimiri boliviensis boliviensis (Bolivian squirrel monkey)
Lineage: Eukaryota; Metazoa; Chordata; Mammalia; Primates; Cebidae
Source: RefSeq, a predicted model, not a curated record
AGUGUUAAACUUCAGCUCGAGAGGCACUUAGUGUCACAGAAGCCUAGAUAAAGAAACAAGAUUUCAAGCAGGAAGAAAUAAUAAAAUAAAGAGGCCGGACUUCAAGUGUCCUGUGAAACAGAGCAUUCGGCCUCCGGCAUACACAUCCGUGGGAGACGGCUCAACUUCUUUAUAAAGUGAGGAACCAAAUUGUGAAGACAUCUGUUCUGUUAUUAAUUUCACAUACAUCUUAAGCUCCUCAAGGCCAGAAAUGAGGCUUCAUUCACGUCGAAUUAAUGAAACAUGAUUGAACAAGGGCCUGAUGUGCGGCUGCCUGAGGCUUUUGGAGAACUGGCUGUCCUGCUCCUCAGAAGCAGGUACAUUUUCACCCCAUCCUGGGCUCCAUGUUCCUGCAGCGCACACGUCAGGAAUGCUGCUAAUUUAGCGUCUGGCUUCCAGACUCAGACGUCAAAACAACCACCUUUCAUCUCAGGCUGGUACUGCCCAUAAAGGCUGGUGCUCCAGCAGCCAUCUUGAGAAAUGCAGCAAUGACGCUGAGUGGCAAGUCAGAAGGCACAGGGUCCCUGCACCCGAGGAGAGCCACUCCAAACCUGGACCACAGACCUUAAGAUCACACCAGGGAGAAGUAAAGCUCUGUUUUGCUGAAGCCACUGCUGUUUUGGGGGAUCCCAUCUCUUGCAGCAAAUUCUAACCUGAAAUAAAACCUUAAUUCAA